UUUUAUGGCGGCUGUGCGCGGGCACGCUUCGGCGUGGCCGGUGCCCUUUCGUGCCGGUUUCCUACCCCGCGUACAGCUGCCACCCCA
RNAcentral lists this non-coding RNA (87 nucleotides) under Stutzerimonas balearica DSM 6083. The record is from RNAcentral. Lineage: Bacteria; Pseudomonadati; Pseudomonadota; Gammaproteobacteria; Pseudomonadales; Pseudomonadaceae.